CUAGUGCUUCACUUUGUACUGAUCAGAAAUGUUGAACAUGAUCCCCUGAACAAGAAAACUUGCUGUUUCUAUGGGAGAAACAUGAAAAUGGGAACAUUAUACCUAUAAGAUCUCCUGUGCUGGAAAACAGGGGAACAUUAGCUGUCAAGAAAGACUCCCACAGAUCUACAGACUGAGAAACAAAUGCAGAAGUGCUAUAUCAGGAUAAUUUUACAUUUUGGAUGGCAGUACAGAUGAACAUCGUGAGUUGAAUAAGAAACUGCUGGAUCAUCUUCUCUCAGGCUCCUUCAGCUUCACGUGAUGCAUCUCGCUGGAAUAAAGCCUUGCAAAAAGAGCCUUUCUUGCCUCUCUCGCUGAGCCAGCUGUGGCACUGGGAAUUCAUCUGAUUGCCAUGACUUUUCAAAUACAAUGGAAUGUUCCUAUUCAGAAAAAUUUUCUAAAUUUCUGAUAUUCGUUCAUGGUGUCAGUAUUGGAAAUCUAAAGGUAAUUAUGUACUGACUCUUCACAGAGAGAGAACCUACAAGUGUAACUGGAAUAUGCACUGCUCCUCCAAGUAUUUGUCCAAGCUUACUACUACACACUAGGUAGCUGUGCAGCUAUUGUACACUGUAUCCCUGUUCUUCAUCUCCCUACAAGGCAGCUGCAUACUUGAAGGAAUAGGUGGGCUGCAUAGCCAUUUUUACCAUUUUUUCAUUGAAAUAUGGGUCGACAAAGCCAACAGGACAAAAAGAGCAAUUUAGGCUUGAAAUUAAGAUUUCCAUGAUUCAGAAUAAUAUUUACCUUGUGUUUUGUUGAUUAAGGUUAAGCGAACAGUCCUCUGAAUCAUAUUUUUUCCUUUUUCAUUUCAUUUGGAUGAACCACUAGAAAAUGAUGAGGUAAAGAACAGAUUUGUUGUAACAGUUUAAUCUUCUGUGCAGCACCAAUUGAGGCUGAAAAAAUAAUUUUAAAGUUCAGAAAAGUGUCCGUUUCUUAGAAUUCAAAAUAUGUUGCAAAUGUUGAUUUUUCAUUUUUUAGCAUAUUCUUGUCUUUAAUACGCCCCUUUGGAAUAGCUUAGAUCUCCAGGUCAAAAGUUUUGUGGAAAUGUAUGAUUUGAGGUUAAUUUUUUCAGGAAUGUCAGUUCAAAGUUCAAUUAAACUCUUGAGGAAUGACUAAGUAUUUCAGUUCGCCCAGCUGGGCUUGCUUUUAUGUUGUGUUUUAUGUUACAAAUAGAUUUAGAUGGUAUUUGUAAGUCAUAUGAAAUUUUUAACAGGAAAGUUACUUGGAAAUCUUCUUCCAAGAAAAACAUUACUGCUUAACACAAAAGUUCUUCUGAAUUUAGCAAGACGUGUCACAUUAAAUGGCAAUAAAACAAUAAAUCUCAAAAAAAUUUU
Molecule: long non-coding RNA, 1370 nt
Organism: Lonchura striata (white-rumped munia)
Lineage: Eukaryota; Metazoa; Chordata; Aves; Passeriformes; Estrildidae
Source: RefSeq, a predicted model, not a curated record